RNAcentral lists this ribosomal RNA (694 nucleotides) under Cunninghamella polymorpha. RNAcentral describes it as "eukaryotic LSU rRNA". It matches the Rfam family "Eukaryotic large subunit ribosomal RNA", at positions 57 to 646 of the family's 3401-position model. Lineage: Eukaryota; Fungi; Mucoromycota; Mucoromycetes; Mucorales; Cunninghamellaceae. The record is from RNAcentral.
AAAAGAAAAUAACAAUGAUUCCCCUAGUAACGGCGAGUGAAGAGGGAAAAGCUCAAAGUUGGAACCUGGUAGGCAUAGCUUACCCGGAUUGUAAACUAAAGUUUUCGAGUCGUUUAGUCAGCCAGGUAAAUAAGUCCUCUGGAAAGGGGCGACAUAGAGGGUGAAAUCCCCGUCUUUGGCCUGAGUUUUGAUUAGGCGUUUGGCUUGGAAACGAAGAGUCAGGUUGUUUGGGAAUGCAGCCUAAAAUGGGAGGUAAAUCUCUCCUAAAGCUAAAUAUUGACGAAAGACCGAUAGCGAACAAGUACCGUGAGGGAAAGAUGAAAAGCACUUUGAAAAGAGGGUCAAAAAGUACGUGAAAUUGCUGAAAGGGAACCGUAUGAAAUCAGAUCUACUGGUAGGUAAUCAAUCUUUCCUUUGGGAAGGAUGCACUUGCCUACUAUGUAUGCCAGCGACAUUUUGGUUGGGAGGAAAAAAAUAAAGGAAAUGUAGCUUAGGUUUCGGCUUAGGUGUUAUAGUCCUUUAUAAAAUACUCUCGGCUGGAAUGAGGAACGCAGCAAACCGUAAGGCGAAGAUUUCAGGCGCUUAGAGGGAAUAAUUAGAGAAUUUCUGCUUCGGGUGGUGCUUUGAUUAUUACCUUUAACACGCUUGGAGUUCUUUUAAUUUGCUUAGGUUGUUGGCUUAAUGAUUUUAUAUG